This is a long non-coding RNA of Oncorhynchus tshawytscha (Chinook salmon), 1083 nucleotides long. Lineage: Eukaryota; Metazoa; Chordata; Actinopteri; Salmoniformes; Salmonidae. The record is from Ensembl.
UGCUAACAGUGUGGUGGUGGUAUAUGCUAACAGUGUGAUGGUGGUAUAUGCUAACAGUGUGGUGGUGGUGGUAUAUGCUAACAGUGUGAUGGUGGUAUAUGCUAACAGUGUGAUGGUGGUAUAUGCUAACAGUGUGGUGGUGUAGUGUUUCAGUGUUUUACAGUCCAUAUAGGACACAGUGGAGGGAGUGUCUGUCUUAGUACAGGGAAGAUAUAAGAGACACUCUGCGGCUGUCAGCUUGUGGAUUGCAGAUUUGCACGCUGUCUGUUUAAAGUAUUUGUACACUUUCUGUCUCUAUCUGUCUGUCUUCACUCCGUGCUAACUGUCUGGCAGUAUUUCUCCAUCUGUAGACAGACAUCUUUAAUCAGUUUGCCUCUCAGCCGAACUCUAUGUGCUGCUAAUCCCCUUUAACGGCCAGCCUGGAUUCCAUCUUUUCAACAUAAUAUCUCUGUUCUUUUAACAUUUUUGUGAGUAUAAUGUUUACUGUUCAUUUAUGCUUUUUUAUUUCACAAUUUAUUGUUUAUUUCACUUGUGAUGUCUGGUGUGAACUGCUCUCUCGAGGUCAUGCCACAGCAUCUCAAUCGGGUUGAGAGGGAGCGGGUGACAGAGAGAGUGGAGGAGAUAGUGACAGAGAGAAGAUAGGAGAGAGUGGAGGAGAUAGUGACAGAGUGGGUGGAGGAGAUAGUGACAGAGUGGGUGGAGGAGAUAGUGACAGAGUGGGUGGAGGAGAUAGCGACAGAGAGAGUGGAGGAGAUAGUGACAGAGAGAGUGGAGGAGAUAGUGACAGAGAGAGUGGAGGAGAUAGUGACAGAGAGAGUGGAGGAGAUAGUGACAGAGAGAGUGGAGGAGAUAGUGACAGAGAGAGUGACAGAGAGAGUGGAGGAGAUAGUGACAGAAAGGGUGACAGAGAGAGUGGAGGAGAUAGUGACAGAGAGAGUGACAGAGAGGGUGACAGAGAGAGUGGAGGAGAUAGUGACAGAGAGAGUGACAGAGAGAGUUAAGGAGAUAGUGACAGAGAGGGUGACAGAGAGUGACAGAGAGAGUGAAGGAGAUAGUGAAAGAGAGUGACAAAGCGAGUUACAG